RNAcentral lists this ribosomal RNA (723 nucleotides) under Orthognathotermes aduncus. RNAcentral describes it as "partial 16S ribosomal RNA". The stretch from base 307 to 516 matches the Rfam family "Bacterial large subunit ribosomal RNA", at positions 1697 to 2031 of the family's 2925-position model. Lineage: Eukaryota; Metazoa; Arthropoda; Insecta; Blattodea; Termitidae. The record is from RNAcentral.
UUUUUAAGAAAUGAAUUGAAUUCAUGUAUUUUAUUUAAUUUCUGUUAUUGUUUUAUUUAUUUUUAUUUUGUAUAAAGAUUAAGGGGGAUUAGCUUCUUAUUUUAUCGUUAAAAUUAUUUGUGUCUUAUUGUGGUUUUGUGGAUUUUAUAGUGAUUUUCAAUUUGAUUAUGUUAAAGUUUUAUUUGUUUUAUUGUUUAUUUUUGUGGAUUUAAGUUAUUUAUUGGAAUGUUUACUUUAUCUAUGGUUUGUAUGGUAAUUAUUAUGUAAUUAGUAAAUUUUUUUGUUGUGUUGUAUAAUUUGAGUGUUAAUUUCUUUUAAGGAAUUAGGCAAAUGUUUUAUAUCCGCCUGUUUAACAAAAACAUCUUUUCUUGUUAGUUUUUGAAGUAUGGCCUGCCCGCUGACUGUGUGUUGAAGGGCCGCGGUAUUUUGACCGUGCAAAGGUAGCAUAAUCAUUAGUUCUUUAAUUGUGAUCUGGUAUGAAUGGCUUGACGAGAUAUAGGCUGUCUUGGUGGAAUUGGGUUGGAAUUGAAUUUGGUGUUUAAGUUAAAAUUCUUAAAUGUUUUUAUGGGACGAGAAGACCCUAUAGAGUUUAACAUUUAUUUGCUGAGUAGUAUGUUUGUUUGUGUUAUGGUUAUAGUAAAUUAAGUGUUUUGUUGGGGUGAUGAGAGGAAUAUUUUUAACUCCUCUUUGUUUUUGUAUAUUUAUUUAUAUGUAUUCUGAUCC